Unclassified non-coding RNA from Ursus americanus (American black bear), 213 nucleotides. Its record names the gene 7SK. It matches the Rfam family "7SK RNA". From Rfam's summary of the family: 7SK was discovered as an abundant small nuclear RNA in the mid-70s but a possible function has only recently been suggested. Two independent studies have found that 7SK RNA binds the CDK9/cyclin T complex (known as elongation factor P-TEFb). P-TEFb activates transcription by phosphorylating the C-terminal domain of RNA polymerase II. Lineage: Eukaryota; Metazoa; Chordata; Mammalia; Carnivora; Ursidae. The record is from Ensembl.
AAAUGUGACAGAUUAGAUCAAACUAAGUAACAUCCCUUCCUCCCUCACUGCUCCACAUGUGUCCCUCCUGGACAAUUCUUUGGUCAAGGGUAUAGGAAUAGCUGCACUCCCCCUUGCUACAACCUCCAAACAAGCUCUCAGUAGGGUAAGGAGCAGGGUAAGGAGUCAAGAGUGUCAUGGAGCAAAGUGGGAAUUUUAUGUAGGAAACAACUC